GGUGUGAACCCCACACUCCCCCCCUCUGGGGGCCGAGUGGAUCUGGUCUCCCCACUGCAAGGUGGGCUGGCCGAAAUUCAGAGGAUCACGCUUGGACCUGUAUGGCACCAGCAAGGUAGGUAGCUCCGUCUACUCCAGCUGAUGCUUUGGGUACUGGCACGGUCCCGCAGAAAACACCAUCUU
RNAcentral lists this ribosomal RNA (183 nucleotides) under Rhexinema sarcinoideum. Lineage: Eukaryota; Viridiplantae; Chlorophyta; Ulvophyceae; Ulotrichales; Helicodictyaceae. The record is from RNAcentral.